AGACCUCAUUGUGCCCUCAGCGCCAGGCUGGGUGAGCCGAGCCUGCAGGCCCAGUGCCCAGGGCCAUCUCAAGGGGCAGCUGGGGGAGGGAGGCUGGGCAUGAGCGGCACUCCCUCUGGGGCUGCCCAAGUUCGGUCUGUCCCAGGACCCAAGCCUGUCUGGCCGACCUGGCUCCCUGCACACUCCCUCCCUCCGUGCCCCUCCCGCUGUGCCUCUCCGCCCUCGGUCGUGGCCGGUCUGAGCCUCCGCUGCGGUGGCCGUCGGAUUCUCUGCUGGUGCCUGCAGGCUCCUCUGCAGACGUUGCCUCCUCCACAUCUCCACGCCAGCUGUGCCACCGCUGUGCAGUCCCUGCCACCUCUGACGACAGACAGCGGCACGCAAAGAGGCUCGGGCGCAGGGGGAAGCUCGUGUUGGCCCCGGCUGGAGUGCACAUCAGUCCCGGCUUCGGCCGUGGCCACCUCCGCCCAGAGCCUUGAGUGGGCAUUGAGGGGGCGCUGCUCUGCGUGAGGUAUGACCUGGACGCGUGUGACAUUCAAGAGAAAUACCCGGAUUUAUUUCAAGUGAACCUGGAAGUGGAGGUGGAGCCCAGGGACAGGCCAAGCCGGGAAGCCCCACCAUGGGAGAACUCCAGCAUGAGGGGGCUGAACCCCAAAAUCCUGUUUUCCAGCCGGGAGGAGCAGCAAGACAUUCUGUCUAAGUUUGGGAAGCCGGAGCUUCCCCGGCAGCCUGGCUCCACGGCUCAGUAUGAUGCUGGGGCAGGGUCCCCGGAAGCCGAACCCACAGACUCUGACUCACCGCCAAGCAGCAGCGCGGACGCCAGUCGCUUCCUGCACACGCUGGACUGGCAGGAAGAGAAGGAGGCAGAGACUGGUGCAGAAAAUGCCUCUCCCAAGGAGAGCGAGUCUGCCCUGAUGGAGGACAGAGACGAGAGUGAGGUGUCAGAUGAUGGGGGGUCCCCGAUCUCCAGCGAGGGCCAGGAACCCAGGGCCGACCCAGAGCCCCCUGGCCUGGCAGCAGGGCCGGUGCAGCAGGACUUGGUUUUUGAGGUGGAGACACCGGCUGUGCUGCCGGAGCCUGUGCCACAGGAAGACGGGGUCGACCUCCUGGGCCUGCACUCCGAGGUGGGCGCAGGGCCAGCUGUACCCCCGCAGGCCUGCAAGGCCCCCUCCAGCAACACCGACCUGCUCAGCUGCCUCCUUGGGCCCCCUGAGGCCGCCUCCCAGGGGCCCCCGGAGGAUCUGCUCAGCGAGGACCCGCUGCUCCUGGCAAGCCCGGCCCCUCCCCUGAGCGUGCAGAGCACCCCAAGAGGAGGGCCCCCUGCCGCUGCUGACCCCUUUGGCCCGCUUCUGCCGUCUUCAGGCAACAACUCCCAGCCCUGCUCCAAUCCUGAUCUCUUCGGCGAAUUUCUCAAUUCGGACUCUGUGACCGUCCCACCAUCCUUCCCGUCUGCCCACAGCGCUCCGCCCCCAUCCUGCAGCGCCGACUUCCUGCACCUGGGGGAUCUGCCAGGAGAGCCCAGCAAGAUGACAGCCUCGUCUAGCAACCCAGACCUGCUGGGAGGAUGGGCUGCCUGGACCGAGACUGCAGCGUCGGCAGUGGCCCCCACGCCAGCCACAGAAGGCCCCCUCUUCUCUUCUGGAGGUCAGCCGGCCCCUUGUGGCUCUCAGGCCAGCUGGACCAAGUCUCAGAACCCGGACCCAUUUGCUGACCUUGGCGACCUCAGCUCCGGCCUCCAAGGCUCACCAGCUGGAUUCCCUCCUGGGGGCUUCAUUCCCAAAACGGCCACCACGCCCAAAGGCAGCAGCUCCUGGCAGACAAGUCGGCCGCCAGCCCAGGGCGCCUCAUGGCCCCCUCAGGCCAAGCCGCCCCCCAAAGCCUGCACACAGCCAAGGCCUAACUAUGCCUCGAACUUCAGUGUGAUCGGGGCGCGAGAGGAGCGGGGUGUCCGCGCACCCAGCUUUGCUCAAAAGCCAAAAGUCUCUGAGAACGACUUUGAAGAUCUGUUGUCCAAUCAAGGCUUCUCCUCCAGGUCUGACAAGAAAGGGCCAAAGACCAUUGCAGAGAUGAGGAAGCAGGACCUGGCUAAAGACACGGACCCACUCAAGCUGAAGGCACCAGGGACCAUCCCCUUCUCCCUCGGAGUCUGGGGCCUGGGAUGGGCCAAGGGGUUGCACCACCAGAACCAGGGUUUGUGUCCUCGGUGAACAUCUGGCUGAGACGAGGGUCCCUCUGGCCCCAGGCCCUGAAACAUGAAGGCCACCUGGCCCUGUGUCGUCCGGAGUGGGCUCUAUAUAGUUGAGGGCAGGGCGUGCAGUGGGACAGUGUCUGUGAGCCGGGCUGAGCCCACCCCACGUGACCAGGCACUUCCUCAGCGUCGUGCCUCAGUUUCCGCGGUGCAGAGGAGGAGGGCAGGCAGGUGCCCAAGGCUCAGCAAGCUCCGUGUCUCCCGCAGCUCCUGGACUGGAUUGACGGCAAGGAGCGGAACAUCCGGGCCCUGCUGUCCACGCUGCACACAGUGCUGUGGGACGGGGAGAGCCGCUGGACGCCCGUGGGCAUGGCCGACCUGGUGGCUCCGGAGCAGGUGAAGAAGCACUAUCGCCGCGCGGUGCUGGCCGUGCACCCCGACAAGGCCGCAGGGCAGCCAUACGAGCAGCACGCCAAGAUGAUCUUCAUGGAGCUGAAUGACGCCUGGUCGGAGUUUGAGAACCAGGGCUCCCGGCCCCUCUUCUGAGGCCGCAGUGGUGGUGGCUGCGCACACAGCUCCACAGGUUGGGAGCCGUCAUGGGACUUGGGUCCCCACCGUGAGGACCCCGUGGGCGACAGCAGGUGUGGCCAGGGUGGGGCUCCGAGCCCCGGGUCACCGCCCGCCCAGCAUUCCAGGCACAUGAAGAGAAAGCAUUCCAAAGCCUCUGAUUGUUGUUUCCUUUUUCUCCUCCCGAAGGAACAGCUGAUUCAUGCUCCUCCCACAAUUGUCACGUCUGUGAUUUAUUUGGUGUUUCGGGCGUGGUCUCUGGAGCCCCGGCACGUGGUGGGCCACGCUGCUGGCGCUCAUGGGCCCUGGUGUUUGCACCGCACUUUGUAAUCAGUCCCGUGGUUGUCUGUACAGAAUUAAACUAUUUUCCGAUG
This 3126-nucleotide small RNA is filed under the name Pan troglodytes (chimpanzee). RNAcentral's name for it is "processed transcript". Lineage: Eukaryota; Metazoa; Chordata; Mammalia; Primates; Hominidae. The record is from RNAcentral.